GAUGAACGCUGGCGGCGUGCCUAAUACAUGCAAGUCGAGCGAACAGACGAGGAGCUUGCUCCUCUGACGUUAGCGGCGGACGGGUGAGUAACACGUGGAUAACCUACCUAUAAGACUGGGAUAACUUCGGGAAACCGGAGCUAAUACCGGAUAAUAUAUUGAACCGCAUGGUUCAAUAGUGAAAGACGGUUUUGCUGUCACUUAUAGAUGGAUCCGCGCCGCAUUAGCUAGUUGGUAAGGUAACGGCUUACCAAGGCAACGAUGCGUAGCCGACCUGAGAGGGUGAUCGGCCACACUGGAACUGAAACACGGUCCAGACUCCUACGGGAGGCAGCAGUGGGGAAUCUUCCGCAAUAGGCGAAAGCCUGGCGGGACAACGCCGCGUGAGUGAUGAAGGUCUUCGGAUCUUAAAACUCUGUUAUUAGGGAAGAACAAAUGUGUAAGUAACUAUGCACGUCUUGACGGUACCUAAUCAGAAAGCCACGGCUAACUACGUG
This 497-nucleotide ribosomal RNA is filed under the name uncultured bacterium. RNAcentral's name for it is "partial 16S ribosomal RNA". It matches the Rfam family "Bacterial small subunit ribosomal RNA", at positions 28 to 507 of the family's 1533-position model. The record is from RNAcentral.